AUUUAAUUUCGACUUGCAUUGCAUAAGUUUAUCCUCUAUCCCUUUCCCUUGUUUGUUUUCCACCUAUCCUGAAUGAGUAGAGGAAUAGAGGAGAAAAAUUUCAUCUGAGUGUAUUCCAAACCUAGUACAAGAGAAGAAGGAAAAAAAGACUAUGCUAGUCCUUCAAGUAGACAAGAAGGAAAAAAAGACUACGCUAAUCCUUCUUCAAGAUGAUUCUAUUCAAACAAAAGAAGCAAGACAUGACCUUCCAUCAAUCAUCCAAAAGUUCUACUCAGGCACCAACAAGCAACUGUAAUCAACCAUCACCAGAAGAUAGUGAUUUGAUUCUCCAUCAAUCACUCAAAAUAUUCAAAUUUUAAAUCAUUCAAUCCAAGGCAUCCAAAGAGCACUCAAAAAUGACCAAAUCAAAAGAGAAUCCAAUGAUGGCCUAUAAAUACAGGUAUGAUUUUUUUCUCCUUUACUCCUUAAGCCUCCACCAAAUAAUUGCCUCCAAAGGCCAUCCCAUAGAACUACCACCACCAUAGGUGCCACC
This 532-nucleotide long non-coding RNA is filed under the name Elaeis guineensis (African oil palm). Its description in RNAcentral is "long non-coding RNA (EGUI_LNC079905)". The record is from RNAcentral. Lineage: Eukaryota; Viridiplantae; Streptophyta; Magnoliopsida; Arecales; Arecaceae.